Molecule: ribosomal RNA, 34 nt
Filed under: Phyllosticta sp. GDOU201203
Lineage: Eukaryota; Fungi; Ascomycota; Dothideomycetes; Botryosphaeriales; Phyllostictaceae
Description: partial 18S ribosomal RNA
Source: RNAcentral
CCUUCCGUAAGGGUGACCUGCGGAAGGAUCAUUA